AAAUAGGUCUCUAUUCUUUUUAUCUGAAAAUGUAUGUAUGGAGUAGGGAUGUUAAUAGGUAUGGAUGUCCGAAAUUUUAUCCGAAUCUGAAUCCGAAUGAAACGGAUAUAUCUGAUGCUAAAUGGAUAUGGAUUCGGAUAUGAAUAUCAAAAAUAAAAAUCCGACGAAUAUUAAUUCAGAUAUGGAUUUUGACGGUACCCGAUCCGAACCCGAACCCGACCCAAACCCGAAUUUAUUUUGUAUUAUAUAUAAUAUAUAUAUAAAAAUUUGAUGUUAUAUUUGAAUUUGUAUUUUAAAAAUUUAGAUUUAACAUAAUAUAUUUUGAAAUAUUGGAAAAAAAAUAAUUGUUUUGGGUUCGGGUUUCGAAUUUUUGGUCGGGUUCGGAUUUGGAUAUGGAUUUUUAAAAUCCGUCGGGUUUCGGUUUGAGUCUCGGGUCUCAGGUUUGGAGUCGGAUUCGGUCCGAAUUUUGAAAAUUCGUCUCGAAUUCGAUCAGUUGACAUCUCUAGUAUGGAGCGUAUCUGAAACUACGAUUUGUUUCGAUUUGACUAUCUAAAUAAAUGUACCUCGCUCGCAUUUAUUUAUUCGGUAACAUUUCUCUUCCAAAAUUCAAAUUAUACGAUCAAGCUGCAUCAAUCAAUCAGACUCAAAUGUACCAACCUUAAUAUUUUAUGUGAAUGAAUGUGCACAUUAUUAUUAUUAUUAAAAGGGUUAAUUAUACUAGUAGUCCCCAAUCUUUUCAUCAAUUUUCACUUAGGUCCCCCAUCUUUUUUUUUUGCAAUUAAGUCCCUAAUCUCUUGAUUUUAUUACAAUUAGGUCCCAAUCGUUAAAAAAUCUGUUAAAAUUAACGGAAUCACCACGUCAGCGCCUAUUUGGCAUACUUUUGCAUGUUAAUUUAGGUUUCUAAACUUUGCACAUUUUUUGCUUUAAUCUCUAAAAAUAAAAAUUUUAAAUUUUAAAUUUAAAAUAAAAAAUAAUAUUAAAUUUUUUUUGCAAUCCGUUGACACAACGCUACCGUGGUGCUGACAUGGUGCCUCCGUGGCGCUGACAUGGUGCUGACGUGGGCUUUUUUCGUCAAUUUUAAUAUUUAUCUAACGGCUGAAACUUAAUUGAAAUGAAAUUAAAAGAUUAGGAACUCAAUUACAAAAAAAAAAGGUUAGGGACCCAAGUGAAAAUUGGUGAAAAAGUUAGGGACUACAGGUGUAAUUAACCCUUAUUAAAAUUAUAAAACUAAUAAUAACUGCAUGCAAUUUAUGUAUUACGGACGUCAUGGAACACGUCAUGGACUCGUGUCCAGCUGGAACACGUUGUGAACGUGUGUUUGAUGGCAAGUCUACAAUACAUUCAAUUAAGGGUUAUUCAAUUAAUUUAUAUUUUAGGAUAAGGGUCUAUAUACCUUCUUGUUUAUUUCUAAGUGAAAUAAAUGAAGCGGGUAUCAUGCUAUCUAUCUCUCUCUCAAAAUAUAUAUAUAUAUAUAUAUCUCAAAAAAUAGAGCACCAUUUUUUUUGAAUAUUAUUAAGUGUACCCUAAAUUAGAAAUCCUAGUAAAUUCUAGGCUAAAUUAUAGAAAAUCUCCAUGUAAUAACUCGCUUUCUCGCUUUCCCCCCCUGACAUUUAAAAACCUACACUUUGCCCCCCUGUAAAAUGAAAAAUGUUCACAGGAAGGAUUACGGUGUGUAAAAUAACCAUUUUGCCCCUCGCCAUUGUCGUCUUCUUUCCCAUCUUCCUCAGCCGUCCCUUCGUUCGACCGCGAUUCCCACCUCAAUCGGCCGCGAUUUCUCUCCAUUUUCUUCUCCAUCUGCUUUCCUUCUCCUCCUGCACCCUCGCCGCCCUCGAUUUCGGCGACAGUAGGAGAAAACUGAAGUGGGCGACAGUAGGAGGAGAGCAAAAAAGGCGAAGGCAAGGCGGCGAAGGACGGCGAAGGGGAUGUGGGUGAGGGCGAGGCAGUGGAGGACGGGUAGAGGUGGAAACUAGCCGAGCUCGAGCGAGCUUAUGUCAGCUCAAAUUCUGCUUGAAAUUAAUUUCGAGCCUAAAUCUAGGCUCAAGCUCGGCUUGAAAUUAAUUCGAGCCGAGCUCGAGCAAGCCUAAUUUCGAGUCGAGCCGAGCUCGAGCUCUAAACGAGCCGAUUGAAAUUCUCGACAUUAUAUAAUCAAUAGUUUAAUUUUUAUAUAAUAUCACCUAUAAUUUGAUGCAACAUGUUCAAUAGUUCAAAAUACAAAAUAAUUGUAAGAAAUGUGAGUUAGGGUGACUACAGAGAGAGAGAGAGAGAGAGGGGGGAAAAAUUAGGGAUUUGAAAAUUUGAAUGUUAUCAUGUUUUAGGGUUAUGUGCAACAGUGAAAGUCUGAAAGAGAGAGUAUGUUAUGUAAUUUAGAGUUGGUUUCAAUUGCACGGUUGUACUUGUUGGGUUUAUUUUAUGGGCCAACAAUAAUGGCCCAAAUUAAAUUAAAACCUAUAUAUAAUUAAAAUACAUUUUAUAUAUAUAUAUAUAUAUAUAUAUAUUCGAGCUUUCGAGCUUUUCGAGCCUAAUUCGAACGAGCCGAGUAAUACUCAAGCUCGGCUUGAAAUGAAUUUCGAGCCUUUUAUUUUGUUCAAGCUCGGCUCAUUUAAUUUCGAGUCGAGCUCGAGCGAGCCGAAUAUCGAGCCGAACACGAGUCGAACGCGAGCCGGCUCGCUCGUUUGCCAGCCCUAAGGACGGGGAGGCGGCGAGGCGGCGGCGAGGUGGCGAGCCGGAGGGAGGCGAAGCAAUAGGGAGAUAGCGGAGGGGUAUUUUCAGCAUAAAAAUAUAUUUUUUAACGGAACCCUAACGGUAGGGGGUGAAGUGUACAUUUUUUAUUUUACAGGGAGGCAAAGUGUAGAUUUUUAAAUGUCAGGGAGGAAAAGUGAAAAAACGGAUUAUUACAAGGGGGUUUUCUGUAAUUUAGCCUAAAUUCUAUAAUUAAUUCUAUGUUGAAUCAUAUUUGGGGUAAUAACUUGGUGAGUUUUGUUGCCUACAUACAAUUUUAACUUUAUUAAAGCAUGUAACUCCUUUUGUUACUAGGAGUAUUUAAAUAUUUUGUUAAAAAAAAAAUUAAUAGUAAUAAGUUUUCAUCCUUAACAAGUUAUAGGAGCAUAAAACACCCUAUCAAACAAGUAUAAUGAAAUUGUGAUUUUAUGCAACUAUGAUUAGUUCUGUUAUAGUUUUUUUUCUUAUAUCUUAUUUGGGCCCCGAGUUGGUGCAGGUAAUGAUUGUCUAGUCUUUGAAAUUUUAUUUUCUUUCUUUAAUAAAAAAAAAUCAAUUAAUAUCAAUUUUAAAGACGAUAGUGUCCGCUAUAAUGCACCUAAAUAAAUA
RNAcentral lists this long non-coding RNA (3324 nucleotides) under Ananas comosus (pineapple). RNAcentral describes it as "long non-coding RNA (ACOM_LNC030896)". Lineage: Eukaryota; Viridiplantae; Streptophyta; Magnoliopsida; Poales; Bromeliaceae. The record is from RNAcentral.